GUGGGUAUAGCUCAGUGGUAGAGCACAUGCUUAGCAUGCACGAGGUCCUGAGUUCAAUCCCCAGGACCUCCA
This 72-nucleotide transfer RNA is filed under the name Camelus bactrianus (Bactrian camel). It matches the Rfam family "tRNA". From Rfam's summary of the family: Transfer RNA (tRNA) molecules are approximately 80 nucleotides in length. Their secondary structure includes four short double-helical elements and three loops (D, anti-codon, and T loops). Further hydrogen bonds mediate the characteristic L-shaped molecular structure. tRNAs have two regions of fundamental functional importance: the anti-codon, which is responsible for specific mRNA codon recognition, and the 3' end, to which the tRNAs corresponding amino acid is attached (by aminoacyl-tRNA synthetases). tRNAs cope with the degeneracy of the genetic code in two manners: having more than one tRNA (with a specific anti-codon) for a particular amino acid; and 'wobble' base-pairing, i.e. permitting non-standard base-pairing at the 3rd anti-codon position. Lineage: Eukaryota; Metazoa; Chordata; Mammalia; Artiodactyla; Camelidae. RNAcentral also lists the same sequence under 3 other names. The record is from Rfam by way of RNAcentral.